CCGACACCUUCUUCCCAGUGCGGCCCGGGCUGCGGCCCCGGGUCCGAGGAGGCCCGGGGAGACCCGGAGGAGGUGGAAACUGAGACCCAGAGAGCCGUGACUUGACUGAUCCCACAGCCAGGAAAUGGUGGAGCCUGGAUUUGAACCCCAGCUUUUAAGAAGAAGGUGCCACUGUCCUGGAAGAACUCUCAGGACAGCAUUAGUGUCUCAGGGAUCCCCCUAAUCGGAGGGGCCUUAAGCCUAAUCAUGAUUGUCACUGAAGAUCCAGGAGGGCUUCCUGGAGGAGGAGGCAGCUCCAUUCUGAAAUGCCAAGGGUACAGCUUUAUUGGGACAGCCAGUGUCUCUGAAUAUGUAGGUUUUGCACAGAGCUUGUACUGCCCCAGGGCCUGUACACUGCCUGUCCCCUCUGCCUUGUGCACUCUUUCCCUAGAUGUCCAAAUGGCUCCUUUCCUCACCUACCCCAAAUCUCAAUUCCAGUGUUUCCCCAGCCUCCCCUCAUUUCAGUAAUCACUCUGCAGUGAGCUAGGAUUGCGCCACUGCACUCCAGCUUGGAUAAGAGAACAAGACCCUGU
Molecule: long non-coding RNA, 572 nt
Filed under: Homo sapiens (human)
Lineage: Eukaryota; Metazoa; Chordata; Mammalia; Primates; Hominidae
Description: HSALNT0395795
Source: RNAcentral